Molecule: ribosomal RNA, 497 nt
Filed under: uncultured bacterium
Lineage: Bacteria
Description: partial 16S ribosomal RNA
Rfam family: Bacterial small subunit ribosomal RNA
Source: RNAcentral
GAUGAACGCUGGCGGCGUGCCUAAUACAUGCAAGUCGAGCGAACGGACGAGAAGCUUGCUUCUCUGAUGUUAGCGGCGGACGGGUGAGUAACACGUGGAUAACCUACCUAUAAGACUGGGAUAACUUCGGGAAACCGGAGCUAAUACCGGAUAAUAUUUUGAACCGCAUGGUUCAAAAGUGAAAGACGGUCUUGCUGUCACUUAUAGAUGGAUCCGCGCUGCAUUAGCUAGUUGGUAAGGUAACGGCUUACCAAGGCAACGAUGCAUAGCCGACCUGAGAGGGUGAUCGGCCACACUGGAACUGAGACACGGUCCAGACUCCUACGGGAGGCAGCAGUAGGGAAUCUUCCGCAAUGGGCGGAAGCCUGACGGAGCAACGCCGCGUGAGUGAUGAAGGUCUUCGGAUCGUAAAACUCUGUUAUUAGGGAAGAACAAAUGUGUAAGUAACUGUGCACAUCUUGACGGUACCUAAUCAGAAAGCCACGGCUAACUACGUG